RNAcentral lists this ribosomal RNA (426 nucleotides) under Ixodes scapularis (black-legged tick). RNAcentral describes it as "partial 12S ribosomal RNA". The record is from RNAcentral. Lineage: Eukaryota; Metazoa; Arthropoda; Arachnida; Ixodida; Ixodidae.
UAAAAAAUUUUGGCGGUAUUUUAAGCUUAUUAGAGGAAUUUGCUCUGUGAUGGACACAACGCCUUAAUCUUACUUAAUUUAGUAAUUUAAAUCAGUUUGUAUACCACUAUAUUAAUUAUAUUGAAUAGUUAUAUUUAAAAUUUUCUUAAAAAAAUAUAUUAAGUCAAGGUGCAUCUAAUAAUUAUGAAUGAAGUGAAUUACAUUAAUUUUAAUGUAAUUUUUUGCAUGAAAAAAUUAAUUAGGAUUUAAUAGUAAAAUACUAAUAUUAUGAGUAUUUGAAUCAAGCUCUAAAAUAUGCACAUAUCGCCCGUCGCUCUCAGAAGUGAGAUAAGUCGUAACAAAGUAAAAAUACUGGAAAGUGUUUUUUAAAAUGAAAUCAUUCGAUGUUUCAUUUACAAUGAAAAUUUUGUUGUUUAACCAUUUUAA